RNAcentral lists this ribosomal RNA (125 nucleotides) under Oberwinklerozyma yarrowii. Its description in RNAcentral is "partial small subunit ribosomal RNA". It matches the Rfam family "Eukaryotic small subunit ribosomal RNA", at positions 1657 to 1779 of the family's 1831-position model. The record is from RNAcentral. Lineage: Eukaryota; Fungi; Basidiomycota; Microbotryomycetes; Chrysozymaceae.
CCUUUGUACACACCGCCCGUCGCUACUACCGAUUGAAUGGCUUAGUGAGGCCUCCAGAUUGGCUAAUGGGAUCUCGCGAGAGAACCUGUCUGCUGAGAAGUUGUACGAACUUGGUCAUUUAGAGG